UAGAGGCCAAAUAAGAUGGGUACUUGCAUUAGUUGCAAAUGAGUAAGUGUACUCUCUCAUUAUUAUUGUUGCUAGCCAAAUAUCGUAUCAUCGUGAGGUGGGCUUGGUAAUAGUGAGCCUCCCAUAACCUACUAGGAGUUUCAUCCAAAACUCUCGAAUUCCUUUGAGGGAUAUGGAAUUUGCCAAAAAAUAGUGGGUGGUGCUAUUUGAUUUAAAGACCCGGAUCAAAUGGCUUAAAAAUCAAUCAAUUUAUAUUCGUUAUGUAUUUGUUUACCAAUAUAUUUGCAAACGCUAUCCAACACUUGACAAAUAAAACCGAAUGUUUUAGUUUCCGGACUUGGUACCACAAUCCCAAAGAAUGUCUUAAAAAGGAUUGCAUAUGUA
RNAcentral lists this long non-coding RNA (384 nucleotides) under Malus domestica (apple). Its description in RNAcentral is "long non-coding RNA (MDOM_LNC020389)". Lineage: Eukaryota; Viridiplantae; Streptophyta; Magnoliopsida; Rosales; Rosaceae. The record is from RNAcentral.